GCUUUUCUUUUUUUCUAGCAGGGCGUGACGCAGAUUGAGGAUUUUCAGGUAUGUUUUCUGUUAAGACCUUUGUGUAUGUCUAAUGUUGCCUUUUCUUUUUUUCUAGCAGGGCGCGACACAGAUUGAGGAUUCAGGUAUGUUUUCUGUUAAGACCUUUGUGUAUGUCUAAUGGUUUUUUUUUCCUUUAGGUCGUGUGCCUUUUUUUUUUUUGCAGGGCGCGACGCAGAUUGAGGAUUCGCAGGUAUGUUUUCUGUUAAGACCUUUGUGUAUGUCUAAUGUUGUCUUUUCUUUUUUUCUAGCAGGGCGCGUCGCAGAUUGAGGAUUUUCAGGUAUGUUUUCUGUUAAGACCUUUGUGUAUGUCUAAUGUUGUCCUUUUCUUUUUUUCUAGCAGGGCGCGACGCAGAUUGAGGAUUCCCAGGUAUGUUUUCUGUUAAGACCUUUGUGUAUGUCUAAUGUUGUCUUUUCUUUUUUUUCUGGCAGGGCGCAUCGCAGAUUGGAGAUUUUCAGGUAUGUUUUCUGUUAAGACCUUUGUGUAUGUCUAAUUUCGCCUUUUCUUUUUUUCUAGUAGGGUGCGACGCAGAUUGAGGAUUCCCAGGUAUGUUUUCUGUUAAGACCUUUGUGUAUGUCUAAGGUUGUCUUUUCUUUUUUUCUGGCAGGGCGAGACGCAGAUUGGAGAUUUUCAGGUAUGUUUUCUGUUAAGACCUUUGUGUAUGUCUAAUAUCGCCUUUUCUUUUUUUUUCUGGCAGGGCAUGACGCAGAUUGAGGAUUUUCAGGUAUGUUUUCUGUUAAGACCUUUGUGUAUGUCUAAUGUUGUCUUUUCUUUUUUCUAGCAGGGCGCGACGCAGAUUGAGGAUUUUCCAGGUAUGUUUUCUGUUAAGACCUUUGUGUAUGUCUAAUGUCGCCUUUUCUUUUUUUCUAGCAGGGCGCGACGCAGAUUGAGGAUUCCCAGGUAUGUUUUCUGUUAAGACCUUUGUGUAUGUCUAAUUGCGCCUUUUCUUUUUUUUCUAGCAGGGCGCGACGCAGAUUGAGGAUUCCCAGGUAUGUUUUCUGUUAAGACCUUUGUGUAUGUCUAAUGUUGUCUUUUCUUUUAUUCUGGCAGGGCGCGACGCAGAUUGGAGAUUUGCAGGUAUGUUUUCUGUUAAGGCCUUUGUGUAUGUCAAAUGGUUCCUUUUUUUUCCUUUAGGUCAUGUGGCCUAUGGGACAUUUGCAGGUAUGUUUUCUGUUAAGGCCUUUGUGUAUGUCU
Molecule: long non-coding RNA, 1243 nt
Filed under: Mytilus galloprovincialis (Mediterranean mussel)
Lineage: Eukaryota; Metazoa; Mollusca; Bivalvia; Mytilida; Mytilidae
Source: RNAcentral